This 1421-nucleotide ribosomal RNA is filed under the name Plantibacter agrosticola (nom. nud.). Its description in RNAcentral is "Plantibacter agrosticola 16S ribosomal RNA". It matches the Rfam family "Bacterial small subunit ribosomal RNA". Lineage: Bacteria; Bacillati; Actinomycetota; Actinomycetes; Micrococcales; Microbacteriaceae. The record is from RNAcentral.
AGAGUUUGAUCCUGGCUCAGGACGAACGCUGGCGGCGUGCUUAACACAUGCAAGUCGAACGAUGAAGCCCAGCUUGCUGGGUGGAUUAGUGGCGAACGGGUGAGUAACACGUGAGUAACCUGCCCUUGACUCUGGGAUAAGCGUUGGAAACGACGUCUAAUACCGGAUACGAGCUUCCACCGCAUGGUGAGUUGCUGGAAAGAAUUUUGGUCAAGGAUGGACUCGCGGCCUAUCAGCUUGUUGGUGAGGUAAUGGCUCACCAAGGCGACGACGGGUAGCCGGCCUGAGAGGGUGACCGGCCACACUGGGACUGAGACACGGCCCAGACUCCUACGGGAGGCAGCAGUGGGGAAUAUUGCACAAUGGGCGAAAGCCUGAUGCAGCAACGCCGCGUGAGGGACGACGGCCUUCGGGUUGUAAACCUCUUUUAGCAGGGAAGAAGCGAAAGUGACGGUACCUGCAGAAAAAGCACCGGCUAACUACGUGCCAGCAGCCGCGGUAAUACGUAGGGUGCAAGCGUUGUCCGGAAUUAUUGGGCGUAAAGAGCUCGUAGGCGGUUUGUCGCGUCUGCUGUGAAAUCCCGAGGCUCAACCUCGGGUCUGCAGUGGGUACGGGCAGACUAGAGUGCGGUAGGGGAGAUUGGAAUUCCUGGUGUAGCGGUGGAAUGCGCAGAUAUCAGGAGGAACACCGAUGGCGAAGGCAGAUCUCUGGGCCGCUACUGACGCUGAGGAGCGAAAGGGUGGGGAGCAAACAGGCUUAGAUACCCUGGUAGUCCACCCCGUAAACGUUGGGCGCUAGAUGUGGGGACCAUUCCACGGUUUCCGUGUCGUAGCUAACGCAUUAAGCGCCCCGCCUGGGGAGUACGGCCGCAAGGCUAAAACUCAAAGGAAUUGACGGGGGCCCGCACAAGCGGCGGAGCAUGCGGAUUAAUUCGAUGCAACGCGAAGAACCUUACCAAGGCUUGACAUAUACGAGAACGGGCCAGAAAUGGUCAACUCUUUGGACACUCGUAAACAGGUGGUGCAUGGUUGUCGUCAGCUCGUGUCGUGAGAUGUUGGGUUAAGUCCCGCAACGAGCGCAACCCUCGUUCUAUGUUGCCAGCACGUAAUGGUGGGAACUCAUGGGAUACUGCCGGGGUCAACUCGGAGGAAGGUGGGGUGACGUCCAAAUCAUCAUGCCCCUUAUUUCUUGGGCUUCACGCAUGCUACAAUGGCCAGUACAAAGGGCUGCAAUACCGUAAGGUGGAGCGAAUCCCAAAAAGCUGGUCCCAGUUCGGAUUGAGGUCUGCAACUCGACCUCAUGAAGUCGGAGUCGCUAGUAAUCGCAGAUCAGCAACGCUGCGGUGAAUACGUUCCCGGGCCUUGUACACACCGCCCGUCAAGUCAUGAAAGUCGGUAACACCCGAAGCCAGUGGCCUAACC